GUAGGGUGCGAGCGUUAAUCGGAAUUACUGGGCGUAAAGCGUGCGCAGGCGGUGAGUUAAGUCUGAUGUGAAAGCCCCGGGCUUAACCUGGGAACUGCGUUUGUGACUGCAAGGCUAGAGUGUAGCAGAGGGGGGUAGAAUUCCACGUGUAGCAGUGAAAUGCGUAGAUAUGUGGAGGAAUACCGAUGGCGAAGGCAGCCCCCUGGGCUAACACUGACGCUCAUGCACGAAAGCGUGGGGAGCAAACAGGAUUAGAUACCCUGGUAGUCCACGCCCUAAACGAUGUCAACUAGGUGUUGGGGGAGGAGACUUCCUUAGUACCGCAGCUAACGCGUGAAGUUGACCGCCUGGGGAGUACGGUCGCAAGAUUA
This 371-nucleotide ribosomal RNA is filed under the name uncultured bacterium. RNAcentral describes it as "bacterial SSU rRNA". It matches the Rfam family "Bacterial small subunit ribosomal RNA", at positions 527 to 896 of the family's 1533-position model. The record is from RNAcentral.